AACAGAGAUAAAAUUAUACCCCUCUUAGUUUUAUGGUAAGGAUUAGAUAAAAUAACACGUAUUACCAAAUAGCACAGUUCUUGGUAGAUUUUCUUUUAUUUACUUUCUCCUUCAAAUACCCACUGGGUAAUUUUUUACCCCUCGAGAAGCCUUGGAAAAGCAGUGAUACUGGAUGCAUUCCCUUAUCUUAUCACUUGUCACAUUCAUUAUGCUGAAAUCAUUCAUUUAAGUGUGACUCUCUCUUUUAUUUUCCAUCAGGCGGCAGGUUCCUUGAGAUCCAGGGCCAUGUGUUAUCCGUUUUGAUGUCCCCAGUGUCAGACUUAAUGCCUGGGAACACAAUAGGAAUUCAACCAAUGUGGAGCUGCUGAACUAUUGAACCACCAGAUAGAGCUUUUGAGGGUGACCGAUCGUUAUUGCCUUUAGAAAAGCAAGAUUGGUGGGUUACACCCACACAGAGCCAAGUUAGACUAUUUUCUGGAAUUUGUUUAACCCAGGAUAGACUGGGAGCUCCAUGAGGUCCGAGACAACCUGAAGACGCCCAGCUCAGCAGAGACUGGCUACGGCAAUCACUCAGUAACUAUUUGUUGAAUUGGACAUAAUAGAAGAGCUGAAGAAUUUUAAACAAGUCACCAUCAGUGCAGUGGAUUCCUCAAAGCAAACCUGGAAAUCUCGGCAUGAGUUGGAUUUAAGGCAGUACAUUUUCAGCUCCUGAAAAUUUGAACAGUUUCUCAAGAGAACAACUUGAAACAGAAAGGCAAGGAUGUAGAUGUGGUUGUAGAAGAUGAUGUCUGCGGCCACCAAACUGUCCACUGUGAAGACAAACCAUG
This 827-nucleotide long non-coding RNA is filed under the name Homo sapiens (human). RNAcentral's name for it is "long intergenic non-protein coding RNA 649". Lineage: Eukaryota; Metazoa; Chordata; Mammalia; Primates; Hominidae. The record is from RNAcentral.